GAGGGAGAUGAGGCGAUCGCGGAGGCGAGGGUCGGAGGGGGACGUGCGGGCGAGGGAGCGGCGGCCGGAGGCCGCCAGCGAGUCGCCGAGAGAGGUGAAGACGAGGACUAAGAAGAUGAAGACGGCGGCAAAGAAAGCGGCGGAGACGAGGUCGAGAAGGCUCCAGCGGCGGGUGGCGCCGCCAGCGGAGAGGCGGCGGGAGGGCGGGAGGUUGAUGUGGCCCAUUGAAGGCGAGAAUGGAGUCUCAGAUCUG
Molecule: unclassified non-coding RNA, 253 nt
Filed under: Hevea brasiliensis (rubber tree)
Lineage: Eukaryota; Viridiplantae; Streptophyta; Magnoliopsida; Malpighiales; Euphorbiaceae
Source: RNAcentral